Long non-coding RNA from Drosophila pseudoobscura, 2623 nucleotides. RefSeq lists it as uncharacterized. The record is from RefSeq and is a predicted model, not a curated record. The transcript has 2 exons. NCBI's taxonomy places the organism in Eukaryota, Metazoa, Arthropoda, Insecta, Diptera, Drosophilidae.
GCAGGCAGCCGACCAGCCAAAGCAGAAAGGCAAACACAGACCUGGUUAUCCUCGUUUUGCCUCUAUACGGUUUCGGUUUUAUUUUUUGCCCUCUCAGUGCCGGAAGUAGUGAAAAUUUCAUUGAUUUUGUUGUUGGAUGCAAUGUCCUCGUCGACUGCUGGCGGACGGCCUCGUUUCGCUCCUGAUUGCACUCACACGCAUGUAAUUUUGGGUGCAUGUGUGAGUGCUGGCUCUGCUUCCUUAAUUCGAGUCCUGCUUGCAUGCUGAGAGAGUGCAUAGUCUGUGUUUGCCUUGGGCCUGGCGGUCCGUGGGUGUCCAUUUGACGCCAUGAUUUAUUGCAUGUGGUCUGCUGCCUGACCCUUUCUCAUAUCGCCUCUUCAUCUGUGGGUGUGUGUGUGUGUGUGUGUGUGUGUGCUUGUGCUUUCUCUCUGCCUCUCUGUUACUCCUUCGAGUGUUUAUUUGUGUGCAUUUCAUUUCGGUUUUUGUCACUCUCACUCUCUGUUUGAGUCAUAGCCAACGUCACCCACACACGCAGGCACAGACGCAAACAUACCGUUCUUGCUGUUGGGCAUGUGUCGGCGCUAAAGCCUGUAUGACACUUACCGAAAACAACGUGGAGAGAGAUGACACCAGAAAUGCUACAACAUAGGUCCCCCUUGAUUCAUUAUUCCUCUUCAGAUAGUACACCAUUAAGAGAGUUUCAACAAGAAAAUUAGACCCAAUGACGGCAUGUACUUUUGUAGGUCCCCAUCGCAUUAAUUCAUUAGCAUUAAGCAAGUGUCAUACCUGGUCCAACAAAAGAGAACAGAAGAGCAGAAAAACAAAUAAAAAUGUAUGUAAAUAUCAAUGGCUGUUUUUCGCAGCAAGAAUUUGAUCAACAGAGUUAAUUAAUUAUGCAUCGUGGUCUAUGAAUAAAGGCAGGACAUUCCAUAUUUGCGUAAAACAUUUCCCCUUAGAGAAUCCUCCUCCCAUCUCAUUUUUGCGUGCAUUAUAAGAGCACCCUAAGCGACAGCAAAAGCCCGCCCUCAAUUCAGUAUCUGAUUGCAGCGACGUCAACGCCAGCGUAAGCAGAGACGCCAGCUGCAGUGCAAUUGUUGCUGCUGCGGAAGCGAAUCCUUUUCACUGCGCAAUAUAAUCUAAAGAAUUUAUGCAGAGCAGCGUGAAAAAGACAUUAUUAAAGGAGUCAAGCGGGGAGGGAGAUGAUCAUACUCCACUUCCUCUUCACAUCCCCACCGAUGCUUCCUCUCACCUCGCUUUGCCUUCAUUAUGCCACCCCCGCAGCUGUCUAACGUGCUCGAAAUUAGCAACAUUCUCUCUGCUUGUCACAGAGGGUAUGCUUAUUUGACCAGAUGUUGGUAAAGCAGAAUGGAAUAGGCGUUUAUGACCCCAUAAAGUAUACAUAUGUACUUAUUCGGGAUUAUAAAUAAAAGCCGAGAAGAUAUAGCCAUAGUUUUUAAAUUGAAUCAAAGUCGUAUAAAUCUAUUAAAUUGCUUCCAUAGUUAGAUGCGACAAGGGUAUUAAGCGCGUCGGCUCUCUAACUGAAACUCCUUUUUUUUCUCUGCCGCUGCCGCUGCUACUCUUCUUGUUGUUGUUGUUGUUGGCCAACUUGCAGCUUUUUGUUUUAGCUGCGCUGCCGCGUUGCUUUUGUUGUAGCGUGCUGCGCUCUUUUUGGUGUCACCAGCAGAAAGCAGAAGCAGCAACAACAAAAACAACAGUAAGAACUGGUGGACUGCGUUCAUUGUACGUGAUUUGAAAUUUAUUCACAGUUGGGACUACUUUUUUUCUCUCUCUGUCUCUCUGCUUUUUAUUAUAAGUCGACAUGACUCCCUUGCCUUACCCCUCUCACACUCCCUGGGCGCUUUGUCAACUUUUUCAUACUUUUUCUGUUGUUGCUUUUUGCUCGUUUGCCUUUGUAAAACUUCCGGUUAAUAGGGACCAGCAGAAGCAGAAGAAAAAGCGACAGCAGAGGAAGCAGCCGAAGAAAGCACACAAGAAAAAGUCUUGCCCUCACGACGAACGUCGUUCGUUUCAUGUUACAAGAUUCGCCCCGAACGAGAAGCCCCCCGAAGCCAAGAAUAAAACGAUAAUGUUCACGUGCGUCCGCCGGCGUCACCCAAAACCAGGAGAAGAGUGGAGAGCUAGAGAGGGGUAGUCCAACGAUGGGGGUAACCAAAAGCGGCGCCGGUGGUUUGGCUCCUCAAAAAUGGGCAAACCCCGAUCUGGGCCGCCCCUUCUUGCAGCCUACCAACAACUACGCAAUCGUCAAAAUAUUUCAAAUUGUUAUUGAGAGAGAAAACUCGCUUGAGGCCAUCGGUUAAGCGAAGGUAGGAUAUUAAAGCUAAUAGUCCUUCUGGCUCUGAUUAUCCUGUAGAUGCAUGCACUCUGUUGCACUCCCUGGAUGUUCAGUCUGUUGGGUAUGUUAUAAAUCGAUGACUUUCAAAUGCAGCAGACCUGCCCUGCCCCUCUGCUUCUCCAUCGUCGGGCUAUUGCCCAUAGCCUUCUUGGGCAAGGUAUGGCUUCCUGUCUUGGCCAAAGUGUGCCACAUCUAACCAUUUCUUCCGCGUUGUUUGGCAUAAUUUGAAAGCAAUUACGAAGCCAAUUAAAUGUGCAUAAAUAUUGUUAA